CCUACGGGGGGCAGCAGUGAGGAAUAUUGGUCACUGGUCGGGAGACUGAACCAGCCAAGCCGCGUGAGGGAUGACGGUACAGAGUAUCGUAAACCUCUUUUGUCAGGGAACAAAGGAGGGGACGUGUCCCCGGAUGAGUGUACCUGAAGAAAAAGCAUCGGCUAACUCCGUGCCAGCAGCCGCGGUAAUACGGAGGAUGCGAGCGUUAUCCGGCUUUAUUGGGUUUAAAGGGUGCGCAGGCGGUCUGUUAAGUCAGCGGUAAAAGCCCGGGGCUCAACCCCGUCGCGCCGUUGAAACUGGCAGUCUCGAGUUGGAGAGAAGUAUGCGGAAUGCGCGGUGUAGCGGUGAAAUGCAUAGAUAUCGCGCAGAACUCCGAUUGCGAAGGCAGCAUGCCGGCUCCACACUGACGCUGAGGCACGAAAGCGUGGGUAUCGAACAGGAUUAGAUACCCGAGUAGUC
RNAcentral lists this ribosomal RNA (459 nucleotides) under uncultured bacterium. RNAcentral describes it as "partial 16S ribosomal RNA". It matches the Rfam family "Bacterial small subunit ribosomal RNA", at positions 338 to 795 of the family's 1533-position model. The record is from RNAcentral.